Molecule: ribosomal RNA, 429 nt
Filed under: Bacteroidota bacterium
Lineage: Bacteria; Pseudomonadati; Bacteroidota
Description: Bacteroidetes bacterium partial 16S ribosomal RNA
Rfam family: Bacterial small subunit ribosomal RNA
Source: RNAcentral
UAGGGAAUCUUCCGCAAUGGACGCAAGUCUGACGGAGCAACGCCGCGUGAGUGAAGAAGGAUUUCGGUUCGUAAAACUCUGUUGUUAGAGAAGAACAGCGCAUAGAGUAACUGUUAUGCGUGUGACGGUAUCUAACCAGAAAGCCACGGCUAACUACGUGCCAGCAGCCGCGGUAAUACGUAGGUGGCAAGCGUUGUCCGGAUUUAUUGGGCGUAAAGCGAGCGCAGGCGGUCAAUUAAGUCUGAUGUGAAAGCCCCCGGCUCAACCGGGGAGGGUCAUUGGAAACUGGUUGACUUGAGUGCAGAAGAGGAGAGUGGAAUUCCAUGUGUAGCGGUGAAAUGCGUAGAUAUAUGGAGGAACACCAGUGGCGAAGGCGACUCUCUGGUCUGUAACUGACGCUGAGGUUCGAAAGCGUGGGGAGCGAACAGG